Molecule: ribosomal RNA, 442 nt
Filed under: uncultured Anaerovorax sp.
Lineage: Bacteria; Bacillati; Bacillota; Clostridia; Peptostreptococcales; Anaerovoracaceae
Description: bacterial SSU rRNA
Rfam family: Bacterial small subunit ribosomal RNA
Source: RNAcentral
CCUACGGGGGGCUGCAGUGGGGAAUAUUGCACAAUGGGCGAAAGCCUGAUGCAGCAACGCCGCGUGAGUGAUGAAGGCCUUUGGGUCGUAAAGCUCUGUCCUUGGGGAAGAAACAAAUGACGGUACCCUUGGAGGAAGCCCCGGCUAACUACGUGCCAGCAGCCGCGGUAAUACGUAGGGGGCGAGCGUUAUCCGGAAUUAUUGGGCGUAAAGAGUGCGUAGGUGGCCAUGUAAGCGCGGGGUGAAAGGCAAUAGCUUAACUAUUGUAAGCCUUGCGAACUGUGUGGCUUGAGUGCAGGAGAGGAAAGUGGAAUUCCUAGUGUAGCGGUGAAAUGCGUAGAUAUUAGGAGGAACACCAGUGGCGAAGGCGACUUUCUGGACUGUAACUGACACUGAGGCACGAAAGCGUGGGGAGCAAACAGGAUUAGAUACCCCUGUAGUC